CACUUCCAGCAUGAUAAUUAUUGGAGGCACUGCCUGCCCAGUGACAUCCGUUAAACGGCCGCGGUAUCCUGACCGUGCAAAGGUAGCAUAAUCAUUUGUUCUCUAAAUAAGGACUUGUAUGAAUGGCCACACGAGGGUUUUACUGUCUCUUACUUCCAAUCAGUGAAAUUGACCUUCCCGUGAAGAGGCGGGAAUUCAUAAAUAAGACGAGAAGACCCUAUGGAGCUUUAAUUAACUAAUCCACAAAACAAUAUCCACACCUCUAAGGAAAAUAAACCAACUUUUGCUGGAUUAACAAUUUGGGUUGGGGUGACCUCGGAAAAUAAAACAACUUCCGAGUGAUAAUAACCUAGACUGACAAGUCAAAGUUUACAAUCAUUCAGUGAUCCAAAAUUCUUUUGAUCAACGGAACAAGUUACCCUAGGGAUAACAGCGCAAUCCUAUUUGAGAGUCCAUAUCGAUAAUAGGGUUUACGACCUCGAUGUUGGAUCAGGACAUCCCAAUGGUGCAGCCGCUAUUAAUGGUUCGUUUGUUCAACGAUUAAAGUCCU
RNAcentral lists this ribosomal RNA (550 nucleotides) under Rousettus amplexicaudatus (Geoffroy's rousette). RNAcentral describes it as "partial 16S ribosomal RNA". It matches the Rfam family "Bacterial large subunit ribosomal RNA", at positions 1817 to 2597 of the family's 2925-position model. The record is from RNAcentral. Lineage: Eukaryota; Metazoa; Chordata; Mammalia; Chiroptera; Pteropodidae.